Molecule: ribosomal RNA, 459 nt
Filed under: uncultured bacterium
Lineage: Bacteria
Description: partial 16S ribosomal RNA
Rfam family: Bacterial small subunit ribosomal RNA
Source: RNAcentral
CUACGGGGGGCAGCAGUGAGGAAUAUUGGCCAAUGGGCGCGAGCCUGAACCAGCCAUCCCGCGUGCAGGAUGACGGCCCUAUGGGUUGUAAACUGCUUUUCUAUGCCAAGAAACCUGAUUACGUGUAAUCAGUUGCCGGUAGCAUAGGAAUAAGCAUCGGCUAACUCCGUGCCAGCAGCCGCGGUAAUACGGAGGAUGCAAGCGUUAUCCGGAUUCAUUGGGUUUAAAGGGUGCGCAGGUGGGCUUGUAAGUCAGUGGUGAAAUGCUGCCGCUUAACGGUAGAACUGCCAUUGAUACUGCGAGUCUUGAGUAUGGUUGAGGUAGGCGGAAUGUGUUGUGUAGCGGUGACAUGCAUAGAUAUGACACAGAACGCCAAUUGCGAAGGCAGCUUACUAAGCCAUUACUGACGCUGAGGCACGAAAGCGUGGGGAGCGAACAGGAUUAGAUACCCGCGUAGUC